RNAcentral lists this ribosomal RNA (497 nucleotides) under uncultured bacterium. RNAcentral describes it as "partial 16S ribosomal RNA". It matches the Rfam family "Bacterial small subunit ribosomal RNA", at positions 28 to 507 of the family's 1533-position model. The record is from RNAcentral.
GAUGAACGCUGGCGGCGUGCCUAAUACAUGCAAGUCGAGCGAACGGACGAGAAGCUUGCUUCUCUGAUGUUAGCGGCGGACGGGUGAGUAACAUGUGGAUAACCUACCUAUAAGACUGGGAUAACUUCGGGAAACCGGAGCUAAUACCGGAUAAUAUUUUGAACCGCAUGGUUCAAAAGUGAAAGACGGUCUUGCUGUCACUUAUAGCUGGAUCCGCGCUGCAUUAGCGAGUUGGUAAGGUAACGGCUUACCAAGGCAACGAUGCAUAGCCGACCUGAGAGGGUGGUUGGCCACACUGGAAGUGAGACACGGUCCAGACUCCUACGGGAGGCCGCAGUAGGGAAUCUUCCGCAAUGGGCGAAAGCCUGACGGUGCAACGCCGCGUGAGUGAUGAAGGUCUUCGGAUCGUAAAACUCUGUUAUUAGGGAAGAACAUAUGUGUAAGUAACUGUGCACAUCUUGACGGUACCUAAUCAGAAAGCCACGGCUAACUACGUG